Molecule: ribosomal RNA, 253 nt
Filed under: uncultured bacterium
Lineage: Bacteria
Description: partial 16S ribosomal RNA
Rfam family: Bacterial small subunit ribosomal RNA
Source: RNAcentral
UACGAAGGGGGCUAGCGUUGCUCGGAAUCACUGGGCGUAAAGCGCACGUAGGCGGAUCUUUAAGUCAGGGGUGAAAUCCUGGAGCUCAACUCCAGAACUGCCUUUGAUACUGGCGACCUUGAGUCCGGGAGAGGUGAGUGGAACUGCGAGUGUAGAGGUGAAAUUCGUAGAUAUUCGCAAGAACACCAGUGGCGAAGGCGGCUCACUGGCCCGAUACUGACGCUGAGGCACGAAAGCGUGGGGAGCAAACAGG